Long non-coding RNA from Anneissia japonica, 1084 nucleotides. RefSeq lists it as uncharacterized. The record is from RefSeq and is a predicted model, not a curated record. The transcript has 3 exons. NCBI's taxonomy places the organism in Eukaryota, Metazoa, Echinodermata, Crinoidea, Comatulida, Comatulidae.
CAUAAGUAAUUGUUAACUUGUGAGAAGUAAUGCAAUUGACUAUCUGUUAACUUUCGUCAUUGACCAUUAAUGAUCUGCGUUAGCAAGUAACCACUUCACUAACCUUUUCUCUAGUACUAAAGGAUAGGCAUACCGAGAGGGCGUAACCCAUUACUUCAAUAAUGGAUUUUUAGUGUUAAAAACAAAUCUUAUUAUUAAUUAAAUCAAAUAUUUGUAUAAAAUUAAAAUAUAUUGUUAACAAUUUUAUAAAUAUAUACUGCUUUUCUGUGUAUUUUUAAAACCCCAACAAAUGGAAGAUUUACUAUUGUGUAAGGACAAGACCUGGGCCUAGCGAUACAGUAGUACACGAUAGCAUCAUGGAUUAUGGACGUGCUUUUGUGUAUUUCAAAAUUAAGAAAAUAUAUAAACUACAGUAUACAGAAAUUUAUGGAAAAGCCACAACAUACAAACCUUUACAAGAUUUGCAUCUACAGAGCUGCACUGAGAUUAUAUAAGGGAGAAGUUUAGAAUACCACUGAAAUACAGACAAAGCGCAUAAAGACCUUCCAUCAACGCUGUCUUGGAACGCUGUUGUGUUAAAAGAAUAUCGAUGUUCUCAAGACUGGCGAAUACUACUUAUUUAUGUUGCAUAACAUCUGUGAGACUCCAUUGGUCUUUUGAGAUGGACUCUUACCUACUGUACUCAUUCUACUUUAAUGGCAGAAGAUCACAGUGCAUAUUAAAAACAAAAGAAUUUUGGUUCAAAGUUGCCAACGAGGAUGUUUAAUUACUGAAAAUUCAUCAGAACAAGCUACCGUUUUAACUGAAAAACAUUGAGGAUUCUGAGACUUGAUGAACCUGAUAUCGACAACCAGUCACCUUAUAUAUAAAGACUGCUGAAAAUGUUUUGAAACCAAGCCUUGUAUUGUGAGAUGAAAUUUUUGUUUGACCUAAACCUGGAAUUUAAAGUACAAACCUAGCAUUAAAUACUUUCUACUUUAUAGUGUUUAAUUUAAUUGCUGUGCAAUGAGAAUGAAGUAUACAUAUUACAUACUGUGCAAUUCUUAAAAAUUGCUCAGGAAAAAUGUUCUGUUGGCCCCCCCCC